GCCAGGCGCGGUGGCGCACGCCUGUAAUCCCAGCACUUUGGGAGGCCAAGCUGGGUGGAUCACCUGAGGUCAGGAGUUCAAGACCAGCCUGACCUACAUGGUGAAACCCAGUUUCU
Papio anubis (olive baboon) is the source of this 116-nucleotide unclassified non-coding RNA. It matches the Rfam family "Metazoan signal recognition particle RNA". Rfam says of the family: The signal recognition particle (SRP) is a universally conserved ribonucleoprotein. It is involved in the co-translational targeting of proteins to membranes. The record is from Ensembl. Lineage: Eukaryota; Metazoa; Chordata; Mammalia; Primates; Cercopithecidae.